This 89-nucleotide ribosomal RNA is filed under the name Caerostris darwini. The record is from RNAcentral. Lineage: Eukaryota; Metazoa; Arthropoda; Arachnida; Araneae; Araneidae.
UCCGGUUCUCGUUCGAUCACCGAAGUCAAGCAUCAUUGGGCGCGGUCAGUACUUGGGAGGGUGACCACCUGGGAACUCCGCGUGCCGUU